CUGCAACAUAGGUACAUCAUAUCCAACAAGUAUCUUGCCCAGCCAUUACAUUUUACAUACAACCAUCCAUUCACUUCACUGCAAAUCAGAGACUAAUGAUAUUAAGAUCAACUUAAGGGAUUAAUCUCAAGGGCAUGCUCAAAAAGUUAGGUUAUUAUUGUUUUCAUUGCUAUUUCCUACAUGCUCUUUUUUCCUGUUUGGCCUCGUUUUUUAUCUUCAAUGUAUCUUGAAGCAUAUU
RNAcentral lists this small RNA (238 nucleotides) under Vigna angularis var. angularis. RNAcentral's name for it is "Non-protein coding transcript". Lineage: Eukaryota; Viridiplantae; Streptophyta; Magnoliopsida; Fabales; Fabaceae. The record is from RNAcentral.